UACGUAGGGGGCAAGCGUUGUCCGGAAUUAUUGGGCGUAAAGAGCGCGCAGGCGGUCGUUCAAGUCGAGUGUGAAAGCCCCCGGCUCAACUGGGGAGGGUCACUCGAUACUGAUCGACUUGAAGGCAGGAGAGGGAAGCGGAAUUCCCGGUGUAGUGGUGAAAUGCGUAGAUAUCGGGAGGAACACCAGUGGCGAAGGCGGCUUCCUGGCCUGUUCUUGACGCUGAGGCGCGAAAGCUAGGGGAGCAAACGGG
Molecule: ribosomal RNA, 253 nt
Filed under: uncultured bacterium
Lineage: Bacteria
Description: partial 16S ribosomal RNA
Rfam family: Bacterial small subunit ribosomal RNA
Source: RNAcentral